CAUGCAAGUCGAACGCGAAAGUGGGGGCAACCCUGCGAGUAGAGUGGCGAACGGGUGAGUAAUACAUCGGAACGUACCCAGGAGUGGGGGACAACCUCGAGAAAUCGAGGCUAAUACCGCAUACGUCCUGAGGGAGAAAGCGGGGGAUCCGUAAGGACCUCGCGCUCAUGGAGCGGCCGAUGUCGGAUUAGCUAGUUGGCGGGGUAAAGGCCCACCAAGGCUACGAUCCGUAGCUGGUUUGAGAGAACGACCAGCCACACUGGGACUGAGACACGGCCCAGACUCCUACGGGAGGCAGCAGUGGGGAAUUUUGGACAAUGGGGGCAACCCUGAUCCAGCCAUGCCGCGUGAGUGAAGAAGGCCUUCGGGUUGUAAAGCUCUUUCGGCCGGAACGAAAUCGUGUACGUGAAUAACGUGCGCGGAUGACGGUACUGGAAGAAGAAGCACCGGCUAACUACGUGCCAGCAGCCGCGGUAAUACGUAGGGUGCGAGCGUUAAUC
This 500-nucleotide ribosomal RNA is filed under the name uncultured bacterium. RNAcentral's name for it is "bacterial SSU rRNA". It matches the Rfam family "Bacterial small subunit ribosomal RNA", at positions 54 to 546 of the family's 1533-position model. The record is from RNAcentral.